RNAcentral lists this ribosomal RNA (466 nucleotides) under uncultured bacterium. RNAcentral describes it as "partial 16S ribosomal RNA". It matches the Rfam family "Bacterial small subunit ribosomal RNA", at positions 28 to 507 of the family's 1533-position model. The record is from RNAcentral.
GACGAACGCUGGCGGCGUGCUUAACACAUGCAAGUCGAACGGAAAGGCCCUGCUUGCAGGGUACUCGAGUGGCGAACGGGUGAGUAACACGUGGGUGAUCUGCCCUGCACUUCGGGAUAAGCCUGGGAAACUGGGUCUAAUACCGGAUAGGAGCCAUUUUUAGUGUGAUGGUUGGAAAGUUUUUUUCGGUGUAGGAUGAGCUCGCGGCCUAUCAGCUUGUUGGUGGGGUAAUGGCCUAUCAAGGCGGCGACGGGUAGCCGGCCUGAGAGGGUGGACGGCCACAUUGGGACUGAGAUACGGCCCAGACUCCUACGGAAGGCAGCAGUGGGGAAUAUUGCACAAUGGGCGCAAGCCUGAUGCAGCGACGCCGCGUGGGGGAUGACGGCCUUCGGGUUGUAAACUCCUUUCGCUAGGGACGAAGCUUUUUGUGACGGUACCUAGAUAAGAAGCACCGGCUAACUACGUG